Vibrio splendidus 12B01 is the source of this 136-nucleotide non-coding RNA. The record is from Rfam. Lineage: Bacteria; Pseudomonadati; Pseudomonadota; Gammaproteobacteria; Vibrionales; Vibrionaceae.
GAUGACACUUAACAUAUAAGGGUCCAGCAACAAAAACCCCGGCUUAUACGGGGUUUUUUGUUAUCUAAGCAUUUGUAAAUGCCUUUAGAUGAUAAUGUUUGCUUGGAAUUUAAAUUGGGCUUUGAGCCCUUUUUUU